Molecule: ribosomal RNA, 90 nt
Filed under: uncultured bacterium
Lineage: Bacteria
Description: partial 16S ribosomal RNA
Rfam family: Bacterial small subunit ribosomal RNA
Source: RNAcentral
CCCGUCACAUCACGAAAGUGAGCUGUACUAGAAGUCGUCGCGCUAACCGCAAGGAGGCAGACGCCCAAGGUAUGACUCAUGAUUGGGGUG